RNAcentral lists this ribosomal RNA (1301 nucleotides) under human gut metagenome. RNAcentral's name for it is "bacterial LSU rRNA". It matches the Rfam family "Bacterial large subunit ribosomal RNA", at positions 1103 to 2488 of the family's 2925-position model. The record is from RNAcentral.
GGCUUAGAAGCAGCCACACAUUUAAAGAGUGCGUAAUAGCUCACUGGUCGAGUGAUCCUGCGCCGAAAAUUCAACGGGGCUAAACGUGUAACCGAAGCUUGGGAUUCCGCAAGGAAUGGUAGGGGAGCGUCGUGUAAGGGGUGAAGUCGCAGCGAGAGCGGCGGUGGACAUUACACGAGUGAGAAUGCCGGAAUGAGUAGCGCGAAUUAUGUGAGAAUCAUAAUGGCCGAAAGUCUAAGGUUUUUGGAGGAAGGUUCGUCCGCUCCAAGUUAGCCGGGAGCUAAGGUGAGGCCGAAAGGCGUAGCCGAUGCACAUACGGUAGAAAUUCCGUAGCCGUCGAAAGAUUUAAGCAAGGGGACACUGUCAAAGCGCGUGACCCGGGCGUUGGUUGACCCGGGCGCAAGGGACUGAAAUUUAGUAGGGAAGCACGCGUAGCGGCAGGCGAGAAAAGCCUUGUGUAUAUCUGAGAUGCCCGUACCGCAAACCGACACAGGUAGACAGGAAGAGAAUUCUAAGGCCAACGGGAGAAGGGUUGUUAAGGAACUCGGCAAGUUGACCCCGUAACUUCGGAAUAAGGGGUGCUCAUGAAAGUGAGCCGCAGAGAAUAGGCCCAGGCAACUGUUUACCAAAAACACAGGUUUGUGCUAAAUCGAAAGAUGACGUAUACGAGCUGACGCCUGCCCGGUGCUGGAAGGUUAAAAGGAGAUGUGCAAGCAUUGAAUUGAAGCCCCAGUGAACGGCGGCCGUAACUAUAACGGUCCUAAGGUAGCGAAAUUCCUUGUCAGGUAAGUUCUGACCCGCACGAAAGGCGUAAUGAUUUGGGCACUGUCUCAACAGCCCGCCCGGCGAAAUUGUAGUACCGGUGAAGAUGCCGGUUACCCGCGACAAGACGGAAAGACCCCAUGGAGCUUUACUGUAGCCUAAUAUUGGGUUUCGGUGUUGCAUGCACAGGAUAGAUGGGACGCUGGGAAGUGAGUGCUUUGGCAUUCAUGGAGCGGCCGUUGGGAUACCAUCCUUGCGACAUUGGAAUUCUAACCUGCGCCUUUGAAUCAAGGCGGGGGACAUUGUUAGGUGGGCAGUUUGACUGGGGCGGUCGCCUCCUAAAGAGUAACGGAGGCGUUCAAAGGUUCGCUCAGCUUGAACGGAAAUCAAGCAAAAGAGUGCAAACGCAGAAGCGAGCCUAACUGCGAGACUGACGGGUCGAGCAGUAACGAAAGUUGGAGUUAGUGAUCCGGCGGUAUGUGAGUGGAAAUGCCGUCGCUCAACGGAUAAAAGCUACCCUGGGGAUAACAGGCUGAUCU